AUGACUCUCGGCAACGGAUAUCUCGGCUCUCGCAUCGAUGAAGAACGUAGCGAAAUGCGAUACUUGGUGUGAAUUGCAGAAUCCCGUGAACCAUCGAGUCUUUGAACGCAAGUUGCGCCCGAAGCCACUAGGCUGAAGGCACGUCUGCCUGGGCGUCUCGC
Molecule: ribosomal RNA, 161 nt
Filed under: Fendlera linearis
Lineage: Eukaryota; Viridiplantae; Streptophyta; Magnoliopsida; Cornales; Hydrangeaceae
Description: 5.8S ribosomal RNA
Rfam family: 5.8S ribosomal RNA
About the family: 5.8S ribosomal RNA (5.8S rRNA) is a component of the large subunit of the eukaryotic ribosome. It is transcribed by RNA polymerase I as part of the 45S precursor that also contains 18S and 28S rRNA. Functionally, it is thought that 5.8S rRNA may be involved in ribosome translocation.
Source: RNAcentral